AAUGUGGAAAGAGGAACAAUCUUCAAUUUCAUAACAUUGCGGCAAAAUGAAGCUUUUCUGAUUGAAUUGAGUGGAGCUGAUUAUUCCAGUUGUGCAGGAUGCUCAUCUGCUGUGGCAUAAACUAUCAUGUACUACAUUUCAUUUCACAUUAGGGUUGCUGAAAUAUUAGUGUGAAAGAGGCUGGUAAGCAGUCUGGGUCAACAGGUAGAAAUAUCGUUACCCUUUCUAGAUAACAUGGAGUUUAAUUGCUUGUUUGUUUUUCUUUUGGGCUGCAGUUUUAAUGCUGGUCAAUAUUUGGUUGGGUUUGUGAUUGUAUAACUAAAUAUUAACUGGCAAUACGAUUUUUAACACAUCUCCGAGUGUCAUGGAAGGGCUGUGUUUGUACCUGGAGGACCUGGAUUAGUACCAAAGACAACAGGAGGAUGCAGGAGAAGCUGGGAGAAAAGGGAGAAGAAGAGGCCGAAUCUACAGCGAGUCUUUAGGGAGUAGUUCUUAGGUGGCUUUGUUUGAUUGUGAUGUCUGUACUGAGGCAAGUCCCUGGCUUGAGUACUGAACUGGCACAUUGAUGGGACUUCCUGUGAAUUUCAGAUGAAAGUGGGUCACUGAAGUAUCUUACGUCAGGAGGAAUAAUAUACCAGGAGCAACAAACAGUCUGCUAGAGGAACUCAUCUGCAGGAGGAAAGAAAUUGAUGCAGAGUUUCAACUUGAAACAUCAACAAUAUAUCUCCUCCCUAUUCUGCCAAGAUGGCAUCCACUUUACUGGCAGCAAAUCCUGUGCUAAUCCAAUGUGUUGUCUUCAUUCCAAACAAACUGUCAUGGUAUAGGCUGAUUGGUGGUCAAUAAAGAAUAGUGAAGGACUAUAAAGAAUAGACUCAUGUCUCCUGGCUGACUCAUGGCAGUUUUCAACAAUUGAACUGUGGCCCAAUCAGUAAACAGGUUUCAUUAGCAAGGGCAAGUGGAGUGGCCAUUGUGUGAAAGGGCCAGUGAUAGAGAGGGAGGCUUUGGUUUUGGCUUUGGCUCAUCAAGCUUAGCCCAGUUCAGGCUUGAAUGAGGUCAAUCUUCUUCUUCUUCUUCUUCUUUAUUCUUUAUUCCUUGUCUGUUAGAACAGAGAUAGUGCAGUGAAAAUGGCUCCAGGAGCUGUGUUAUGUUUUUUUUGUGUGAGAUAUGGGAAUUCUGGGAGACCUUUAGCCUCCCAGACAACUACAUCUGCACCAGGUGCACCUAGCUGCAGCUCCUCGGAGAAUACAUUAAGGAACUGGAGCUAUAGCUUGAUGACCUUUGACUCAUACAGGUGACCAAGGAAGCUAUAGAUAGGAGCUACAGGGAAGUAGUCACCCCAAGAUUGCAGGAGGCAGGUAACUAGGUGACUGCCAGGCGAAGAAAUGGGCAGCCAGUGCAGACUACACCUGUGGCUAUUCCCCUCAAUAAUAAGUACACUGUUUUGGAUACCGUUGAAGGGGAUGACCUACCUGGAGGAGCCGCAGUGCCUGGGCCUCUGGCACUGAGUAUAACACUGUGGUUCAGAAGAGAAGAGAGGUGAAGAAGAAUGUAGUAGUAAUAGGAAAUUCCUUAGUUAGAGGAUUAGAGAAGAGAUUCUGAGGAUAUUUUGGAGACACCUGGAUGGUAUGUUGCAACCCACGUGCCAGGGUUAGGGACGUUUCACAUCAGGUCCAUUGCAUUCUAAUGGGGAAGGAUGAGCAGCCAGAAGUCUUGGUACAUAUUGGCACCAAUGCCAUGGAAAGGAAAGGUGAGGAAUUCCUGAAGUGAGCUUUUAGGGAGCUAGGUAGUAAGCUGAAAAGGAAGACAGCCAGAGUAGAAAUCUCUGGACUUCUACCUGUCCCAAAUGCCAGAAGGUAAGAAUAUGAGCAUUUAGCAGAUAAACGUGUGGCUGAGGAACUGGAGCAGGAGGCAGGGGUUCUGAUUUCUGGAUCAUUGGGAUUUCUCUGGAGAAGGUAUGAGACCUGUACAAAAGGGGUGGGACUAGUACUCUUGUGAGCAAGUUUGCUAGAACUGUUCAGGAGAGUUUAAACUAAUUUGACUGGGGGAUGGAAACCAGAGUGAUAGGGCUGAGGAUGGGGCAGUUGGCUUACAAACUGAAGCAAUGUGUACUGAGACUGUGAACAGGGACAGGCUGAUGACAGGGCAAAAUUGCUGUCAAUGGGUUGAGUUGCAGUGUAAAAGAGGGACAAAACCAAAGAGGGUGAUGAAUUCAGGACUGAAGGUGUUAUAUUUGAAUGCAUGCAGUAUAUGGAAUAAGGUAGGUGAACUUGUAGCACAGUUAGAGAUGAUCUUGUGGGCAUCACUAAAUUGUGGCUGAAAGAAGGUUAUAGCUGGGAGCUGAACAUCCAACGGGACAUAAAAAAUGCAUGUCAGAAUGGCAAAGUUACAAUAGUCAUGGGGGAUUUCAAUAUGUAAGUAGAUUGGGGAAAUCUGGUUAGUGCUGGUUUACAAGGGGGGUGGGAUUUGUAGUAUGCCUUUUAGAGCAGCUCGUGGUUGAGCCCACUAUGGGUUCAGCUGUUCUGUAAUUUGUGUUGUGCAAUGAAGUGGGAUUGAUUAGAGAGCUUAAGAUAAAGGAACCUUUAGGGUUCAGUGAUCAUAAUAUGAUGGCAUUCAUCAUGCAAUUUGAGAGGUUGAAGCUAAAAUCAGAUGUAUCAGCAUUGCAAUGGAGUAAAGGGAAAUACAGUGGAAUGAGAGAGGAGCUGGACAAAGUUGAUUGGGAGGGGUCACUAGAAGGGAUGAUGGCAGAGCAGCAAUGGCUGGAGUUUCUAGGAGAAAUUCAGAAGUAGCAGAUUAGACACAAUCCAAAAAAGACAGGAUGAUGCAACCAUGGGUGACAAUGGAAGUCAAAUCCAACAUAAAAGCCAUAUAAUACAGCAAAGAUUAGUGGCAACUUAGAAGAUAGGGAAGCUUUCAAAAACCAACAGAAGUCAACUAAAAAAGUCAUAAAGAAGGAAAUGAAGGAAUAUGAAGGUAAGCUUAAAAAUACUAAAGAGGAUACCAAAAAUUUCUUGAGAUAUAUAAAGAGUAAAAGAAAGGCGAGAGUAGAUAUAGGACUGCUGGAAAAUGAUGCUGGAGAGGUAGUAAUGGGGGGGGGGGGGUCAAGGAAAUAUUAGAGAAAAUGAGUAAGUAUUUUGCAUCGGUCUUCACUGUGAAAGACAAUAGCCAUAUGUUGGAAGGUCGAGGGUGUCGGGGGCUGAAGUGAGUAAAUUUGCCAUUACUAGGAAGAAGGCCCUUAAAUGACUGAAUUCGGUCCACAAAGCUGUGUUGAACAUGCCCUUACUAUAGAUAUUACGCAGGGAUACCCAUAGCCCUCUAUUUUUCUAAACUCCAUGUACCUAUCCAGGAGUCUCUUAAAGGACCCUAUCAUAUCUGCCUCCACACAACAUUGCUGGCAGCCCAUUCCAUGCACUCACUACUCUGUGUAAAACUUUACCCCUGACAUCUCCUCUGUACCUAUUUCCAAACACCUUAAAAUUGUGCCCUCUCCUGGUAGCUACAAAGCCCUGGGAAAAAGCCUCUGACUAUCCACAUAAUCAAUGCCUCUCAUCAUCUUAUACACCUCUUUCAGGUCACCUCUCAUUCUCUGCCACUCCAAGGAGAAAAGGCCGAGUUCACUCAACGUGUUCUCAUAAGGCAUGCCUCCCAAUCGAGGCAACAUCCUUGUAAAUCUCCUCUGCACCUUUUCUAUGGUUUCCACAGCCUUCCUGUAGCAAGGCAACCAGAACUGAGCACAGUGGAGUCUGACUAGGGUCCUGUAUAGCUGCAACAUUACCUCACAGCUCCUAAAUUCAAUCCCAUGAUUGAUGAAGGCCAAUGCAUUGUAUGCCUUUUUAACCACAGAGUCAACCUGUGUAGCUGCUUUGCGUGUCCUAUGGACUCAGACCCCAAGAUCCCUCUGAUUCUCCACAGUGCCAAGAGUCUUACCACUAAUACUAUAUUCUGCCAUCAUAUUAGACCUACCAAAAUUAACCACUUCACACUUAUCUGGGUUGAACUCCAUCUGCCACUUCUCGUCCCACUUUUGCAUCCUGUCAAUGUCCCGCUGUAACCUCUGACAGCCCUCCACACCCCCAACCUUUGUGUCAUCAGCAAAUUUACUAACCCAUCCCUCCACUUCCUCAUCCAGGUCAUCUGGAUCAGAUGGUUUACACCUAGGGUUUUGAAAGGGUUGGCUAAAGAGAUUGUGGAGCCACUACUGAUGAUCUUUCAAGAAUUCUGGCAUGGCUCCGGAGAAAUGAAAAAUUGCAGAUGUCAAUCCAUUGUUCAAGAAAGGAGAGAAACAGAAGAAAGGAAGUUAUAGGUCAUUUAGUCUGACCUCGGUGGUUGGGAAGAUGUUGGAGCUGAUUGUUAAGGAUGUGGUUUUGAAGAUGCAUCGUAAAAUAAGCCAAUGUCAGUAUGGUUUCUUUGAGAGAAAAUCUUGUCUGACUAAUCUUUUGGAAUUCUUUGUAGAAAUAACAAGCAAGAUCGACAAAAAGGAGAACUGAUGGACAUUGUGUACUUGGAUUUUCAGAAGGCCUUUGACAAGCACAGGUAUUGGCUGACAGAAUUUAUCCUCAAGAAGAUAAAUGGAGCCAGGAUAACCCCUAUUGACAUCAAUGGAUCUGGGGUUGAGAGGGUGAAUAGCUUCAAGUUCCUCGGCAUAAACAUCACUGAGGAUCUCAGCUGUAUGGUGAAAAAAACGCAACAGCACCUCUUUCACUUCAUAAGGUCGAAGAAGUUUGGUAUGGGCCCCCAAAUCCUGAGGACUUUUUACAAGGCAAACACGAGGAAAUCUGCAGAUGCUGGAAAUUCAAGCAACACACACAAAAUGCUGGUGGAACGCAGCAGGCCAGGCAGCAUCCAUAGGGAGAAGCGCUGUCAACGUUUCAGGCUGAGACCCUUCAUCAGGACUAACUGAAAGGAGAGAUAGUAAGAGAUUUGAAAGUAGGAGGGGGAGGGGAAAAUGCAAAAUGAUAGGAGAAGACCGGAGGGGGUGGGGUGAAGCUGAGAGUCAGAAAGGUGAUUGGCAAAAAGGGAUACAGAGCUAGAGAACGGAAAGGAUCAUGGGACGGGAGGCCUAGGGAGAAAGAAAGGGGGAGGGGAGCACCAGAGGGAGAUGGAGAACAGGCAGAGUGAUGGGCAGAGAGAAAAAAAAGCCUAAAUAUAUCAGGGAUGGGGUAAGAACGGGAGGAGGGGCAUUAACAGAAGUUAGAGAAGUCAAUGUUCAUGUCAUCAGGUUGGAGGCUACCCAGCAGGUCUAUAAUAUGUUGUUCCUCCAACCUGAGUGUGGCUUAGCUUUUUACAAGGGCACAAUUGAGAGUAUCCUGACUGGCCUCAUCACUGCCUGGUAUGGGAACUGUACUUCCAUCAAUCGCAGGGCUCUGCUGAGAGUGGUGCAGACAGCCCAGCGCAUCUGUAGAUGUGAACUUCCCACUGUUCAGGACAUUUACAGAGACAGGUGUGUGAAAAGGGUCCAGAGGAUCAUUGAGGACCCAAGUCAACCCAAUUGUUCCAGCUGCUACCAUCCGGGAAAUGGUACCGCAACAUAAAAGCCAGGACCAACAGACUCCAGGACAGCUUCUUCAACCAGGCCUUUAGUCUGAUUAAUUCAUGCUGAUACAAUUAUAUUUCUAUUCUAUAUUGACUGUCCAGUUGUACAAACUAUUUAUUACAAAUUACUAUAAAUUAGAUGUCGCACAUUUAGAUGGAGACGUAAUGUAAAGAUUUUUACUCCUCAUGUAUGUGAAGAAUGUAAGUAAUAAAGUUAAGUCAAUUCAAUUCAA
Long non-coding RNA from Hypanus sabinus (Atlantic stingray), 5762 nucleotides. RefSeq lists it as uncharacterized. The transcript is spliced from 2 exons. The record is from RefSeq and is a predicted model, not a curated record. NCBI's taxonomy places the organism in Eukaryota, Metazoa, Chordata, Chondrichthyes, Myliobatiformes, Dasyatidae.